UACGUAGGGGCUAGCGUUGUCCGGAUUUAUUGGGCGUAAAGAGCUCGUAGGUGGUUCGGUAAGUCGGAUGUGAAAUCUCCAGGCUCAACCUGGAGGGGUCAUUCGAUACUGCCGUGACUAGAGUUCGGUAGAGGAGUGUGGAAUUCCUGGUGGAGCGGUGAAAUGCGCAGAGAUCAGGAGGAACACCCGUAGCGAAGGCGGCACUCUGGGCCGAUACUGACACUGAGGAGCGAAAAGCGUGGGGAGCGAACAGG
RNAcentral lists this ribosomal RNA (254 nucleotides) under uncultured bacterium. RNAcentral describes it as "partial 16S ribosomal RNA". It matches the Rfam family "Bacterial small subunit ribosomal RNA", at positions 524 to 776 of the family's 1533-position model. The record is from RNAcentral.